CCCUUAGAUGUUCUGGGCCGCACGCGUGUUACACUGACAUGUUCAUCGAGCUCCUUACCUUCGCCGGCAGGUUCGGGUAAUCUUUUCAAAGCAUGUCGUGAUGGGGAUAGAUUAUUGUAAUUCUUAAUCUUCAACGAGGAAUUUCUAGUAAACGCGAGUCAUCAACUCGCAUUGAUUACGUCCCUGUCCUUUGUACACACCGCCCGUCGCUACUACCGAUUGAAUCGUUUAGUGAGCUUGGAGGACUGAUCUUCACCGGAGGCCUUGCCAAAGGGAUUGAAUGGGAGUCCAAACAAACUUGACGAUUUAGAGGAAGUAAAAGUCGUAACA
RNAcentral lists this ribosomal RNA (330 nucleotides) under uncultured eukaryote. RNAcentral's name for it is "partial 18S ribosomal RNA". It matches the Rfam family "Eukaryotic small subunit ribosomal RNA", at positions 1470 to 1796 of the family's 1831-position model. The record is from RNAcentral.